RNAcentral lists this ribosomal RNA (465 nucleotides) under Vreelandella stevensii. Its description in RNAcentral is "partial 16S ribosomal RNA". It matches the Rfam family "Bacterial small subunit ribosomal RNA", at positions 338 to 795 of the family's 1533-position model. The record is from RNAcentral. Lineage: Bacteria; Pseudomonadati; Pseudomonadota; Gammaproteobacteria; Oceanospirillales; Halomonadaceae.
CCUACGGGAGGCUGCAGUGGGGAAUAUUGGACAAUGGGGGCAACCCUGAUCCAGCCAUGCCGCGUGUGUGAAGAAGGCCCUCGGGUGGUAAAGCACUUUCAGUGAGGAAGAACGCCUGGUGGUUAAGACCCAUCAGGAAAGACAUCACUCACAGAAGAAGCACCGGCUAACUCCGUGCCAGCAGCCGCGGUAAUACGGAGGGUGCGAGCGUUAAUCGGAAUUACUGGGCGUAAAGCGCGCGUAGGUGGCUUGAUAAGCCGGUUGUGAAAGCCCCGGGCUCAACCUGGGAACGGCAUCCGGAACUGUCAAGCUAGAGUGCAGGAGAGGAAGGUAGAAUUCCCGGUGUAGCGGUGAAAUGCGUAGAGAUCGGGAGGAAUACCAGUGGCGAAGGCGGCCUUCUGGACUGACACUGACACUGAGGUGCGAAAGCGUGGGUAGCAAACAGGAUUAGAUACCCUAGUAGUC